CCCUGUAUCCUCAGCCUCAGCCUCAGCCUGACUUCCUGGGCCACCUGUUGCUUGAAGCCACAGGAGUGGCCCCUCCUAAUUUGACUUCCUGUCCUCCAUAGGAUCUGCUUCCCAGUGCAGGUGAACCGGCUGCCUCGGGAGACACUGCUGUGUGCCACUCUCUAUGCUCUGCCCAUCCCCCCACCGGGGAGCUCCUCAGAGGCCAAUAAGCAGCGGCGGGUGCCUGAAGCCCUGGGCUGGGUCACUACCCCACUCUUCAACUUCAGGCAGGUCCUGACCUGUGGCCGGAAGCUUCUGGGUUUGUGGCCAGCAACACAGGAAAAUCCCAGCGCCCGUUGGAGUGCACCUAAUUUCCACCAGCCAGACAGUGUCAUCCUGCAGGUGAGGCUU
Molecule: small RNA, 390 nt
Filed under: Pan troglodytes (chimpanzee)
Lineage: Eukaryota; Metazoa; Chordata; Mammalia; Primates; Hominidae
Description: processed transcript
Source: RNAcentral